ACACUGCUGAGGAGUCCCACAACUAGGACGAAACGGCCGUCCAGUAC
RNAcentral lists this non-coding RNA (47 nucleotides) under Schistosoma mansoni. Lineage: Eukaryota; Metazoa; Platyhelminthes; Trematoda; Strigeidida; Schistosomatidae. The record is from RNAcentral.